Long non-coding RNA from Scophthalmus maximus (turbot), 4107 nucleotides. The record is from Ensembl. Lineage: Eukaryota; Metazoa; Chordata; Actinopteri; Pleuronectiformes; Scophthalmidae.
AUUCAAUUGAAACACAUAAGGAUUAAAAUAAAGAAUUUGCAGGCAACUGUUAGAAAUUCGUAUAUUUCGUAUAUUUUCGUAUAUGAAUAUAAUGUUCAGGCAAGCACAUCUCUGUAACUUGGCAAUAUUUAAAUGGUAUUUCUCAUACAAAGUUUCACCUAAACAAUAUUUGUCUCCCACAAUGCGAAAAUUAUAUUAAAGUAUAUUUUAAUUUGAGUUACAUAUCAAUUAAUUGUUCAGCCAUGAUUUAUAGAAAUUACAAACUUAGCUAAUACAAUACUUUAAAAUGUUCCUAUUACAAUAGGAGAGGAGACGGAGGGAAAUGAUAACUCAAGAGCAGCGUCGGAGAAAGGUACGUACUGUAUAUUGUAAGAUACAAACAUGUGGUGUUUAAAGUCAUUCAUUACACUGUGUUCAAUUUUAAUGUUAAGGCCAUAGAAGAUAAAGUGGACCUUAUCAACAGUGUCGAGGAACCAGUAGAUGGUGUCGAACUCCACUGCAAAUUUCCAGAUGGAAGAAUUUCCAAUAGGAGAUUUUAUUUAUCCCAGCCAUUCCAGGUAAUUUAAAAAUUGGUUGGGAGGGUGUUAAAAUGCAAAUUCAAAAUAAACCCUGAGAUUUCUUAGUUGCUAUUCAGGCCUGCAACACAUUCAAAACAAGUGUGGGACAGUUAAGUAUUUACAACUUUGUAAUGUGUACCUAGUCUUAUUUAGAGGAAGGAAAAAUAAUCAGCUAUUUUCCUGCAGCAUCUUGUUGCUUUUGUUGGGACUGACGAGAUGGCAUCUGAGGUCUUCACUCUGCAGCGCGCAAUGUCCCCUACUGCCAUCUACAGCAACUGUGCAGGAGCCAUCGUCGAUCAGGGUAUCGAUGGGCCCUGCACAUUGUAUGUGCUUUGGCUGUCAAGCAGCCAAGUCAGGGAAUUGCUGGCUCCUCCUUCCAGUCUCUCUCCCCCAAGUUUUUCACCUCCUCAUCACCCAUCACCUCCUCCCAGUCCUUCACCUCCUCCCAGUCCUUCACCUCCUCCACGUCCUUCACCUCCUCCCAGUCCUUCACCUCCUCCCAGUCCUUCACCUCCUCCCAGUCCAUCACCUCCUCUCAGUCCAUCACCUGCUUGUAGUCUGUGAGUAAUAAAUACUCACUGUAUAAAUACAGUGUAAUGUAAAAAAUGUGGAGAAGAAAGACAUAGGAGGGACGUUAUGGCUAUUAUGAGUAAUAUAGAUAAUAGAUUGGCUUAUCUUCAAUAUCAACUAUUAGUACAACAAUGUGAUACCAGAUAUUGCUUAUAACUCCCUUUAAGAUGUGCCUAACAAGAUUGUCUCUGUUCUUAAUUUAAUUUUCAGGGAUGUUGUCACCAUUCUCCGAGGUCUUAGGGAGACACUCAAACUCCUCCCCAACAGAGCUAAUCAAAUUAAUGCUCUGCGUGGGGAGGAGUUUGAUUGCGCAGCCCGAGCCUUCAGCAGAUCUAAUUUUGACCCAGAGUCAAAAUUAGAUGUCGUGUUUGUAGACGAUGAUGGUAUUGGAGAGGGGGCUGUGGAUGAAGGUGGUCCAACAAGGGAGUUCUGCCGCCUUCUCACCAGGCAGCUCCAAACACAUAGCAUUUUUGAAGGACCCCUGGAAAAAUGCACCUUGGCCCUAGAUAGUGUUGGUAAGUGUUAUGCAAUGCAUAGAAAUGUUUUUUCCAUAUUGUUGGCAUAUGUACAAAACACCUGUAUUAUAUGCUAAAAUAUAACAUAUUUUUGGAAAAUCUUGAACCAUAAUGUUAGUUAAUGCAAUAUUGAAUUGGUAUUUAAAAAGUUUAUUCUUGUUGACAUUGAUCUUUACAUAGUAUUAAUGAAAUUAUAAAGAUUGAUUUAAUAAAAUGUAAUUACCUUGUGGUCAGUAAUUGUAGGACUUAAAGAUGUGUUUACUGUAUUAACUUAAUGCAAAUGCACAUGUAUGAUUCUAAAGGGCUUAACACUUCUGUAUAUUCUGUACUACUCUCAUUUAUCUGUAAUGCAUCUGGAAUAUUCUACUCCAACGUUUUAAUAAUGUUGUAUUUAAAUGGGUCAUUCAUAGGGUAUCAUUGCAGUAGACUAACACAAAAGUAGAACAUUUAAGGGAAUAUAUAGUAUUCAGUGUAAUGUUUUUUGUGUUUGUGUUUUGCUAUUUAAAUAUUUGAAACUUUGAAUUAUGAUUUCUGUACAAUCUAAUCAAUUGUUUGUCCCCUUAUUUUAUGGCUUAGAUUGCCACAGCAACAACUCUUGAAGAGGCAAGAGAGGCAGUCAGUGACGCAUCAGAGGAACUGUCCCUGAUGGGUUCUCUGCGCUUCCUCAAAACUCUAGAGGAGAGGGAUGAACUGGUGACCGCUGUCCUGGGGUUCUACACUGAGGGUCGAGUCCAUGCUCCCCUUCAGCAGUAAGUGUACAUGGCAUAGGCCAAAUGGCUAGGUUGACUAUGGCCCCCUAAGGCAUAACAGCCUAGGAAUAUGCUGAAUGUACACAGAUAGUACACUUUUGUGCAAGUUUCAUCUGAAAAGAAAGAAAAAAUAUUUAAAUUAUAAAAACUGAAUAGUCCGCUUAAGAUUGUUCAUCCAUAAUAUAGUCCUCAUUAUUUAACCAUUGCACUGCCAGAGAAUAGAAUGAGGGCUAGGUGUUUACUACAUUGAGAUACUAGUUACCUAUGGGCUCAGUAAAACAGGACUUCUGCAUAAGUGAAACAGGGCAAAUGCACUGAAAACGGAUCAAAUACUAUUGUGGUUUGGGUGAUUUCAUAAUUAAUUAUUCUCUUGCAUGCUGAUUUCUAUCUUGUAUAUAUUGCUUGGUAACUUUAAUCAUUGAAUUACCAACAUUAGACUGAGAUAAUAAAAUUGGUGAAAUUACCCCUCAAAUUUUGAAAAAAUAGAUUAGCAGGUUGUUUCAAUGUUUAGUCCAAGGGGACAGAAACAUGUAGAUGUGUUGUUUAUUCUUACUGUUUACUUUUACAGGUUCAGAGAGGGCCUCAGCGUCUUCGGUGCUCUGGCUGCAAUGGAGGAGCACUGUGAUGUCCUGGCACCAGUCUUCCUGGCAGACCAGAAAGCGCUGUGUGCCUCAGAUCUGGUUACACUGUUUGUAACACGCAGCUUCUCACUGGCUGGAUCCAACAGGAAAAGAGCGGAGCUAAAAACCAUCGCCUAUUGGAGAGACUGGCUCCUGCAGGUGGAGGGUAAGAAAGUGCCUAAUGAAAAAUGAUUUAUACUUGUAUAGAGGUUAAGCUUUACUGUUUACUGAAAGAAAAGUGUAUUAGCUAACAUCAACAUCUUACAUUAACUUGUAACAUUCUCUUGUGUGACACACAACAUCAUGAGUGACGGGCAGAGGAAACAUCAAAGUUAAGAAAUGGUAUGGUCCACAUUAGGGAUUUAAUGAAGCCAUUUUACAAGAUUCUUCCAGGCUAUAUUUAAAUGUUUUGACACCCCUUGCCCUGUAUUUUUAACCUUUUUGGGGUGACAGCCUUAAUUGGGGGUCAGACAUUCCAAAUAGCAUACUGUUGAAGUAAAUAAUAAUUCAGCAUUUAUACAGUCACAAACAGUGGCACUGGGCACUGUUUAGAGGUAGCUCUCUAAUAUAUGUUGUAGUUGUUUCGACCAAUACCAUAACCAUAACAACAGUACUCUGAAAAAUUCCAACACCAGUUCUCAGCUAACGACUCUGGUUCUUUCUGGAAGGAGCUCAGACAGAUUACAAACUACAAACCUAAACCCUCCCACUCCGUCAAUGACCUGCGGCUUGCAAAUUAACUGAACGAGUUCUACUGUUGCUUUGAGAGACAAAGGGACAGCCCUGACACCAUCCCCCGCGACACCCUUUCCCAUCUCAACAACACCCCCAGCUCAGCAGGAAACGGGGCCUCUCCCCUUCACACCUCUGGGUCCCCCCUCCUCUACCACAGUGACGACUCUCUGCCUGCAGGAGAGGGACGUCCACAAGCUAUUCAAAAGACAGAACCCCGCAAAGCAGCUGGACCAGACUCUGUCUAUCCAUCCACCCUGAAGCAGUGCGCUGACCAGCUGUCUCCAGUGUUCACAGACAUCUUCAACACCUCACUGAAGAACGUCAUGUGCUUCAAAGUCUCCACCAUCAUCCCCGUCCCCAU